GAGUUUGAUCUUGGCUCAGGACGAACGCUGGCGGCGUGCCUAAUACAUGCAAGUCGAGCGGAUCUUCAUUUGCUUGCUUUUGAAGAUCAGCGGCGGACGGGUGAGUAACACGUGGGCAACCUGCCUGUAAGACUGGGAUAACUUCGGGAAACCGGAGCUAAUACCGGAUAAUCCUUUUCCUCUCAUGAGGAAAAGCUGAAAGACGGUUUCGGCUGUCACUUACAGAUGGGCCCGCGGCGCAUUAGCUAGUUGGUGAGGUAACGGCUCACCAAGGCGACGAUGCGUAGCCGACCUGAGAGGGUGAUCGGCCACACUGGGACUGAGACACGGCCCAGACUCCUACGGGAGGCAGCAGUAGGGAAUCUUCCGCAAUGGACGAAAGUCUGACGGAGCAACGCCGCGUGAGCGAUGAAGGCCUUCGGUC
RNAcentral lists this ribosomal RNA (424 nucleotides) under uncultured microorganism. RNAcentral describes it as "bacterial SSU rRNA". It matches the Rfam family "Bacterial small subunit ribosomal RNA", at positions 9 to 423 of the family's 1533-position model. The record is from RNAcentral.